RNAcentral lists this ribosomal RNA (253 nucleotides) under uncultured bacterium. Its description in RNAcentral is "partial 16S ribosomal RNA". It matches the Rfam family "Bacterial small subunit ribosomal RNA", at positions 524 to 776 of the family's 1533-position model. The record is from RNAcentral.
GACGAACCGUACGAACGUUAUUCGGAAUUACUGGGCUUAAAGGGUUUGUAGGCGGCCUUGUAAGUCAGGUGUGAAAUCCCUCGGCUCAACCGAGGAAUGGCGCUUGAUACUGCAAGGCUUGAGGGAGACAGGGGUAAGCGGAACUGAUGGUGGAGCGGUGAAAUGCGUUGAUAUCAUCAGGAACACCGGUGGCGAAGGCGGCAUCCUGGACCGGUAUUGACGCUGAGGCGCGAAAGCCAGGGGAGCAAACGGG